CAAUAGCGUAUAUUAAAGUUGUUGCAGUUAAAAAGCUCGUAGUUGGAUUUGUGGCGUACGGUGUGUUCCGGGCACUUGUUGUCUGAGUAACCUGCUGUUGACAUCCUUGGGUGGAACCUGUGUGGCAUUAGGUUGUCGUGCAGGGGAUGCCCAUCGUUUACUGUGAAAAAAUUAGAGUGUUCAAAGCAGGCUUAUGCCGUUGAAUAUAUUAGCAUGGAAUAAUGAGAUAGGACUUUUUUGCUAUUUUGUUGGUUUGCGCAAAGAGGUAAUGAUUAAUAGGGACAGUUGGGGGUAUUCGUAUUCCAUUGUCAGAGGUGAAAUUCUUGGAUUUUUGGAAGACGAACUACUGCGAAAGCAUUUACCAAGGAUGUUUUCAUUAA
This 380-nucleotide ribosomal RNA is filed under the name uncultured eukaryote. RNAcentral's name for it is "partial 18S ribosomal RNA". It matches the Rfam family "Eukaryotic small subunit ribosomal RNA", at positions 592 to 976 of the family's 1831-position model. The record is from RNAcentral.